This 253-nucleotide ribosomal RNA is filed under the name uncultured bacterium. RNAcentral describes it as "partial 16S ribosomal RNA". It matches the Rfam family "Bacterial small subunit ribosomal RNA", at positions 524 to 776 of the family's 1533-position model. The record is from RNAcentral.
UACGUAGGGGGCGAGCGUUGUCCGGAUUUACUGGGCGUAAAGCGUGCGCAGGCGGCUCGUUGCGCCCGACGUGAAAGCCCCCGGCUCAACCGGGGAGGGUCGUCGGGGACGGGCGAGCUUGAGGGAUGCAGGGGCUGGUGGAACUCCCGGUGUAGUGGUGAAAUGCGUAGAGAUCGGGAAGAACACCCGUGGCGAAGGCGGCCAGCUGGGCAUCACCUGACGCUGAGGCACGAAGGCGUGGGGAGCGAACGGG